RNAcentral lists this transfer RNA (78 nucleotides) under Candidatus Heimdallarchaeota archaeon. RNAcentral's name for it is "tRNA-Gly". It matches the Rfam family "tRNA". Rfam says of the family: Transfer RNA (tRNA) molecules are approximately 80 nucleotides in length. RNAcentral also lists the same sequence under 2 other names. Lineage: Archaea; Promethearchaeati; Candidatus Heimdallarchaeota. The record is from RNAcentral.
GCAUCGAUGGUCUAGACUGGUCUAGGACUCCAGCCUUCCAAGCUGGGUACCCGGGUUCAAAUCCCGGUCGAUGCACCA